Molecule: ribosomal RNA, 468 nt
Filed under: uncultured bacterium
Lineage: Bacteria
Description: partial 16S ribosomal RNA
Rfam family: Bacterial small subunit ribosomal RNA
Source: RNAcentral
GACGAACGCUGGCGGCGUGCUUAACACAUGCAAGUCGAACGGAAAGGCCCUGCUUUUGUGGGGUGCUCGAGUGGCGAACGGGUGCGUAACACGUGAGUAACCUUCCCUUGACUUUGGGAUAACUUCAGGAAACUGGGGCUAAUACCGGAUAGGAGCUCCUGCUUCAUGGUGGGGGUUGGAAAGUUUCGGCGGUUGGGGAUGGACUCGCGGGUUAUCAGCUUGUUGGUGGGGUAGGUGCUUACCAAGGAUUUUACGGGUAGCCGGCUUGAGAGGGUGACAGACCACAUUGGGACUGAGGUACGGCACAGACUCCUACGGGAGGCAGCAGUGGGGAAUAUUACAGAAUGGGCGGAAGCCUGAUGCAACAAAGCCGCGUGCGGGAUAACGGCCUUAGGGUUGUAAACCGCUUUCGCCUAUGAAGAAGCGGAAGUGACGGUAAUGGGUAAAGAAGCACCGACUAAAUACGUG